Molecule: ribosomal RNA, 429 nt
Filed under: Bacillota bacterium
Lineage: Bacteria; Bacillati; Bacillota
Description: Firmicutes bacterium partial 16S ribosomal RNA
Rfam family: Bacterial small subunit ribosomal RNA
Source: RNAcentral
UAGGGAAUCUUCGGCAAUGGACGGAAGUCUGACCGAGCAACGCCGCGUGAGUGAAGAAGGUUUUCGGAUCGUAAAGCUCUGUUGUUAGAGAAGAACGUUGGUAGGAGUGGAAAAUCUACCAAGUGACGGUAACUAACCAGAAAGGGACGGCUAACUACGUGCCAGCAGCCGCGGUAAUACGUAGGUCCCGAGCGUUGUCCGGAUUUAUUGGGCGUAAAGCGAGCGCAGGCGGUUCUUUAAGUCUGAAGUUAAAGGCAGUGGCUUAACCAUUGUACGCUUUGGAAACGGGAGGACUUGAGUGCAGAAGGGGAGAGUGGAAUUCCAUGUGUAGCGGUGAAAUGCGUAGAUAUAUGGAGGAACACCGGUGGCGAAAGCGGCUCUAUGGUCUGUAACUGACGCUGAGGCUCGAAAGCGUGGGGAGCAAACAGG